RNAcentral lists this ribosomal RNA (468 nucleotides) under uncultured bacterium. RNAcentral describes it as "partial 16S ribosomal RNA". It matches the Rfam family "Bacterial small subunit ribosomal RNA", at positions 28 to 507 of the family's 1533-position model. The record is from RNAcentral.
GACGAACGCUGGCGGCGUGCUUAACACAUGCAAGUCGAACGGAAAGGCCCUGCUUUUGUGGGGUGCUCGAGUGGCGAACGGGUGAGUAACACGUGAGUAACCUGCCCUUGACUUUGGGAUAACUUCAGGAAACUGGGGCUAAUACCGGAUAGGAGCUCCUGCUGCAUGGUGGGGGUUGGAAAGUUUCGGCGGUUGGGGAUGGACUCGCGGCUUGUCAGCUUGUUGGUGGGGUAGUGGCUUACCAAGGCUUUGACGGGUAGCCGGCCUGGGAGGGUGACCGGCCACAUUGGGACUGAGAUACGGCCCAGACUCCUACGGGCGGCAGCAGUGGGGAAUAUUGCACAAUGGGCGGAAGCCUGAUGCAGCAACGCCGCGUGCGGGAUGACGGCCUUCGGGUUGUAAACCGCUUUAGCCUGUGACGAAGCGUGAGUGACGGUAAUGGGUAAAGAAGCACCGGCUAACUACGUG